AAUGAACGCUGGCGGCAUGCCUAACACAUGCAAGUCGAGCGAACGCACGGGAAGCUUUCUCCCCUGAGGUUAGCGGCGGACGGGCGAGUAACACGUGGAUAACCUACCUAUAAGACUGGGGUAAUUUCGGGAAACAGGAGCUACUACCGCAUAAUAUUUUGAACCGCAUGGUUCAAGAGUUAAAGACGCUCUUGCUGUCACUAAGAGCUGAAUCCGUGUUGCAUUAGCUAGUUGGUAAGGUAACGGCUUACCAAGGCAACGAUGCGUAGCCGACCUGAGAGGGUGAUCAGCCACACUGGAACUGAGACACGGUCCAGACUCCUACGGGAGGCAGCAGUAGGGAAUCUUCCGCAAUGGGCGAAAGCCUGACCGAGCAACACCGCGUGAGUGAUGAAGGCCUUCGGAUCGUAAAGCUCUGUUGUUAGGAAAGAACAGAAGCGUGUUUAACCGUGACCAUAUUGACGGUACCCAAUGAAUAAGCCCCGGCUAACUACGUG
This 497-nucleotide ribosomal RNA is filed under the name uncultured bacterium. RNAcentral describes it as "partial 16S ribosomal RNA". It matches the Rfam family "Bacterial small subunit ribosomal RNA", at positions 29 to 507 of the family's 1533-position model. The record is from RNAcentral.